AUGUUUACUGUGGCAGCACAUAUACUAAAAUUGGAACCAUAGAGAGCUUAGCAUGGCCUCUGCACAAGAAUGACACGCAGAUUCAUGCAGUGCGCCGUAUUUUU
Molecule: small nuclear RNA, 104 nt
Organism: Lynx canadensis (Canada lynx)
Lineage: Eukaryota; Metazoa; Chordata; Mammalia; Carnivora; Felidae
Source: Ensembl